GCAAAAGUGUGUCGAGUCUUCAACUCCUAAAAACUCUUCUCACAAGAAUCUGAUCACUGAAACUAGUGGGGUCAUAUAAGAGAUAUUUGACCUAAGGUUUAACAACACAUAAACAUCAAGAUUAAAGACACGUAGAAUACCAGUAAUCAUAUCUAGUGAACUUUUCUGCUCCUGAUAGGAUGGUAAAAUAUAUAACCGAUUCUAGCACCGAUUGCCAUAGGUACUAGAUGAUGCACCCUAAGGAGGGACUGGGCAACCUAGAGGAGCUGGUGCGCUAGUAGCUUGAGUUUGGGGAUGAACAUCCCAG
This 307-nucleotide long non-coding RNA is filed under the name Capsicum annuum. Its description in RNAcentral is "long non-coding RNA (CANN_LNC020856)". The record is from RNAcentral. Lineage: Eukaryota; Viridiplantae; Streptophyta; Magnoliopsida; Solanales; Solanaceae.